This 233-nucleotide ribosomal RNA is filed under the name uncultured bacterium. RNAcentral describes it as "partial 16S ribosomal RNA". It matches the Rfam family "Bacterial small subunit ribosomal RNA", at positions 104 to 334 of the family's 1533-position model. The record is from RNAcentral.
CGGACGGGGCGAGUAAUGCUUGGGAAUCUAGCUUAUGAGGGGGAGUAACUACGGGAAACUGUAGCUAAUACCGCGUAAUAUCGAAAGAUUAAAGUGUGGGACCUUCGGGCCACAUGCCAUAAGAUGAGCCCAAGUGGGAUUAGGUAGUUGGUGAGGUAAAGGCUCACCAAGCCGACGAUCUCUAGCUGGUCUGAGAGGAUGACCAGCCACACUGGGACUGAGACACGGCCCAG